This is a long non-coding RNA of Juglans regia (Persian walnut), 694 nucleotides long. RefSeq lists it as uncharacterized. NCBI's taxonomy places the organism in Eukaryota, Viridiplantae, Streptophyta, Magnoliopsida, Fagales, Juglandaceae. The record is from RefSeq and is a predicted model, not a curated record. The transcript has 3 exons.
UCUCUCUCUCUCUCUCUCUCCUUCCUUUCCUACAACGAUGUUCUCUCAGAACUUCUCUCCCUCUUGUAGUUGCCAUGGCGGCGCGGCCUGCAUCUUUGUCUCCUCCUCCUCUUCUUCUCAAACUCUCUCUCUCGCACCUGUCAUGUGCUCGUGGUCAUGGUUGUGACCAACGUGGAUUGGGAGGGGGGGGGACCCAGUGGUCCAUUCUCGCUCUUCAGCACACGGAUGGGGGGCUUCACUCCCGAGAUACAGUGGCGGAUUCUUAGGGGCAAACACCCUAAUAUUCAUGCCGCCUGGUUCUAUUUGUGUGUGGUCCAAUUUGGUUCUGUGUAGCCUGGUUCGGUUUUUCUCUCAAUGAAGCUUGGGCCAUGAAGUGGAUAUUUGGCUCUAAAUCCAACCUGUCAAAAUAACACGCAAUACUCAUGCAUGCAACGCUGCUCAUAGUGGUGCUACGUCCUCAUCCUCAGCUGCUGCAGAUUCUCCUCAUAACGAUAUUGUGCAUGCGCACUCACACUCACCAGCACCUUCUAGAGCAGUCUCCACAAAUAACCCUCUGUAACUUACAUACUAUAUAUUGCCAUCUGUACAAUUCUGUUACGAACAAAUAUUCUAUCAUACUUGUAUAUAAAGGAGGUAUAACCUCUGUGUAAAGAUCAUGGGAAAUUACAAUACAAAGAAUACUUUUAGCAUGGUA